GAGGGUCUAGUUCAAGUGGUAGAAUGCAUGCUUGGUAUGCAUGCUUAGUAUGCAUGAGGUCCUGGGUUCAAUCCCCAGUACCUUCU
Molecule: transfer RNA, 86 nt
Filed under: Camelus bactrianus (Bactrian camel)
Lineage: Eukaryota; Metazoa; Chordata; Mammalia; Artiodactyla; Camelidae
Also listed under: 2 other names
Rfam family: tRNA
About the family: Transfer RNA (tRNA) molecules are approximately 80 nucleotides in length. Their secondary structure includes four short double-helical elements and three loops (D, anti-codon, and T loops). Further hydrogen bonds mediate the characteristic L-shaped molecular structure. tRNAs have two regions of fundamental functional importance: the anti-codon, which is responsible for specific mRNA codon recognition, and the 3' end, to which the tRNAs corresponding amino acid is attached (by aminoacyl-tRNA synthetases). tRNAs cope with the degeneracy of the genetic code in two manners: having more than one tRNA (with a specific anti-codon) for a particular amino acid; and 'wobble' base-pairing, i.e. permitting non-standard base-pairing at the 3rd anti-codon position.
Source: Rfam by way of RNAcentral